This 460-nucleotide long non-coding RNA is filed under the name Mustela putorius furo (domestic ferret). RNAcentral's name for it is "lncRNA (ENSMPUG00000030547.1)". The record is from RNAcentral. Lineage: Eukaryota; Metazoa; Chordata; Mammalia; Carnivora; Mustelidae.
CUGGAUCCCAGGACCCUGGGAUCAUGACCCAGGCUGAAGGCAGACGCUUAAUGACUGAGCCACCAAGGCGCCCAAACUGUGUAUAUAUUUUUAAUAGCUAAAACAUAAAUUGAAGUUUACUGAUAUAAGGAGAACAUCAAUUAUAUUCUAAGUCAAUUUAUAUGAUGGAUCAUCAGCACUGAGAAAUUGGACUUAACAAUUAUGGAACACAGGGAUAGAAUAACAGUACAGAGAUCUCAAGUACGUGGAGAGGCAAGCAGAGAGAGAGAGAGAGAGAGGAGGAAGCAGGCUUCCCGCUGAGCAGAGAUCCCGAUGCGGGGCUUGAUCCCAGGACCCCGGGACCAUGACCUGAGCCAAAGGCAGAGGCUUUAACCCACUGAACCACCCAAGUGCCCCUAUGGUAGGCAAUUUUAUAGACUGGAAAGAUGUAUGGAAAUGUGCAAUACAGAGUAUACAGAAG